CAUCAAAGUGCGACUCAUGCCGGAGGAGCUGCCGCACCCUAGAGCACCGCCGCCGGUAAGUUUCAGUUUUUUGUGAUUUUUUUGGCCCACCGAGGGUCCUAGGGUUGUUUUAUCGCAGGGACCGAUGCAAGUGUAGCCGAAUUCGGCCGAAAACGGCCAAUCCAAGGCGGAUCGCCCCUGCAAGCGGCGGCGCCGUCGCCGGAGCACGGCGGAGCCACCGUGCCAGAAUUUCAAUAUUAGCCGAAAGGGGCCCUAGGACUGAUUUGGAAUUUUUUGGGAUACGUGCAGGUACCGGUAGUGCGUUUCAGUUUUUCUGAAAAAGAUUCAGGAAAAUUAGGGACAGCCUGUAGGCGCACUGUAGAGUCGAAUUCAGACCCCGAAACAGGUAAGGACCUCUCACCCUAUUUCCUAUCGCGGUAUUAAAGCUAAAUAAAUAAUUAAACUGUACUGUGUGACUUUAUAGAUGUAUAAUUGAUUUAGGUUGCCAAUGGGACCCGAGUCUGAUACAGUGUUGGUCUGUUAUUGUUUGAUCUAAUUUCCAGUAUUAAAUGCAGUAUGAUAUUUGAUGUAUUUAUGUUAUGGUCUCGUAUGCAUGAAUCAGGUUUCUUUUAUUGUGAUUUGUAUUAUGGUGAACCUGAUACUGUGUUGUCUUAUUUGGUGUCAAUUACUGGUUUACAUGUUGUGUAUGAUUGGAUGAUUGAGAUCAAAGAAAAACGCAAAAAAGUUAUGUGAAUUGAUAGUGGAUAAUGUGGACAGCCUGACUAGAUAUCUUGGGAGAUGGUAGACGGACCGGGUCCGUAGGGAACCCUACCGGGAACGUGGUCUCUCAUACUGGACAGGGUAUGUAGACCUUAUGUGUUUUGGCGCCCAU
RNAcentral lists this long non-coding RNA (871 nucleotides) under Carica papaya (papaya). Its description in RNAcentral is "long non-coding RNA (CPAP_LNC014675)". The record is from RNAcentral. Lineage: Eukaryota; Viridiplantae; Streptophyta; Magnoliopsida; Brassicales; Caricaceae.